This 75-nucleotide transfer RNA is filed under the name archaeon GW2011_AR15. Its description in RNAcentral is "tRNA-Glu". It matches the Rfam family "tRNA". Rfam says of the family: Transfer RNA (tRNA) molecules are approximately 80 nucleotides in length. Their secondary structure includes four short double-helical elements and three loops (D, anti-codon, and T loops). RNAcentral also lists the same sequence under 1 other name. The record is from RNAcentral.
GCCUCGGUAGUGUAGUCCGGCCAAUCAUAAAGCCCUCUCGAGGCUUUGACCCGGGUUCGAAUCCCGGCCGAGGCA